GCUGCAGUCGAGAUCAUUCGCAAUGGGCGAAGCCUGACGAUGCGACGCCGUGUGAGCGAUGAAGGCCUUCGGGUCGUAAAGCUCUUUCGCUUGGGAACAAGAGAGGUCAGCUAAUAACUGGCUAAUUUGAGGGUACCAGGUAAAGAAGCACCGGCUAACUCC
RNAcentral lists this ribosomal RNA (162 nucleotides) under uncultured Chlamydiales bacterium. RNAcentral describes it as "partial 16S ribosomal RNA". It matches the Rfam family "Bacterial small subunit ribosomal RNA", at positions 348 to 504 of the family's 1533-position model. Lineage: Bacteria; Pseudomonadati; Chlamydiota; Chlamydiia; Chlamydiales. The record is from RNAcentral.